GGGGGUGUAGCUCAGUGGUAAAGUGCAUGCAUAACAUGUGUGAGGCCCUGGAUUCAAUCCCCAGUACUGCCA
This 72-nucleotide transfer RNA is filed under the name Fukomys damarensis (Damara mole-rat). It matches the Rfam family "tRNA". From Rfam's summary of the family: Transfer RNA (tRNA) molecules are approximately 80 nucleotides in length. Their secondary structure includes four short double-helical elements and three loops (D, anti-codon, and T loops). The record is from Rfam by way of RNAcentral. Lineage: Eukaryota; Metazoa; Chordata; Mammalia; Rodentia; Bathyergidae.